ACGGAGACGGAUAGUGUGACCCUCUUAAUGGAUUGAGGGCGAAGCGAAGCGGCUGGUUACCAGGCAAAUCCGGUAACCUUAAGGCUAGAGCGUGACAGGUAAGCGAAAUCUAAGGAAAGUAGCGAAGCACAUGAUGACGGCUUCCAGGAAAAGCUUCUGGCAAUGCAUAUGCGGCCCGUACCAAAACCGACACAGGUGGGCAGGGAGAGAAUCCCGAGGUGAGCGAGAGAACUGUUGCCAAGGAACUCGGCAAAAUGACUCCGUAAGUUAGCGAGAAGGAGUGCUUAAGCAAUUAAGCCGCAGUGAAGAGGCCCAAGCGACUGUUUAACUAAAACACAGCUCUCUGCGAAGUCGCAAGACGAAGUAUAGGGGGUGACACCUGCCCGGUGCUGGAAGGUUAAGAGGAUCUGUUAAGAGCGAUCUGAAGCAGUGAUCCGAAGCCCCAGUGAACGGUGGCCGUAACUAUAACGGUCCUAAGGUAGCGAAAUUCCUUGUCAGGUAAGAUCUGACCCGCACGAAAGGUGUAACGAUUUGGGCGCUGUCUCGGCAGCAGACUCGGUGAAAUCUUAGUACCUGUGAAAAUGCAGGUUACCCGCAACUAGACGGAAAGACCCCAUGGAGCUUUACUGCAGCCUGAUAUUGAAUUCUGGUCAUACAUGUACAGGAUAGGUGGGAGACAAAGAGACGUGCACGCCAGUGUACGAGGAGUCGACGUUGGGAUACCACUCUUGUGUGACCGGGGUUCUAACCUGGUAUCGAGAACAGGUACGGGGAGAGUGUCAGGUGGGCAGUUUGACUGGGGCGGUCGCCUCCCAAAGAGUAACGGAGGCGCCCAAAGGUACGCUCAGAUUGGAUGGAAACCAAUCGACGAGUGCAAUUGCAGAAGCGUGCUUGACUGUGAGACAAACAAGUCGAACAGGAACGAAAGUCGGGAAUAGUGAUCCGGCGGUGCCGAAUGGAAGGGCCGUCGCUCAACGGAUAAAAGCUACCCUGGGGAUAACAGGCUGAUCUCGCCCAAGAGUUCACAUCGACGGCGAGGUUUGGCACCUCGAUGUCGGCUCAUCGCAUCCUGGAGCUGGAUUCGGUUCCAAGGGUUGGGCUGUCCGCCCAUUAAAGCGGUACGCGAGCUGGGUUCAGAACGUCGUGAGACAGUUCGGUCCCUAUCUGUUGUGGGCGAAGGAGAUCUGCGGAGAGCUGUCCUCAGUACGAGAGGACCGGGAUGGACCUACCGCUGGUGCACCGGUUGUUCCGCCAGGGGCAUAGCCGGGUAGCUAAGUAGGGAAAGGAUAAGCGCUGAAAGCAUCUAAGCACGAAGCCUACUCCAAGAUGAGAUCUCCCAUUCGCAAGAAGUAAGACCCCUUAAAGACGAUAAGGUAGAUAGGCCAGGGAUGGAAGUGCAGUGAUGUACGGAGUUGACUGGUACUAAUCGGUCGAGGACUUAACC
Molecule: ribosomal RNA, 1444 nt
Filed under: metagenome
Description: bacterial LSU rRNA
Rfam family: Bacterial large subunit ribosomal RNA
Source: RNAcentral